CAUGUGCCAGAUUAUGAAUCUCUCUGUGAACCCGAAAUUCCCCUAAAAGGUUUCUAUGAAAACAAAAAAUGGUUUCAUUUGAGAGAAGCUACAGUUACGGUGCAGGUGAUGAAGAAUAUGAGGAAAAGCGACUAAGGAAGAGAUCUAAAAGCAACUCCAUCUUUGCCUCAGCUUGGAGUCUUUUGGUUGGCAAUGAAAACAACGAGACUGUUCAAGAUGCCGAAGAUACACCUGACACUGCACAAGAGCCCAAAAGAGAGGGUCUCACACACGAAGAUGCAUGGAUGCAAGGCUCAUACACUGCUCUAGCUUUUCUGUUCAUACUCUUAACUGUUUGCAUAUUCGUUGCCGUGUAUUACAUCUUAGAGCCGUUCUUACUGCCGUUGGUUUGGGCCGUCUUGGUUGGCAUGGUGCUUCAUCCAUUCAAGCAUGCAACUACAUCUGAGGUACACGACUGGCUGUCUUAUUUGGAAACUACAGGAAUACCACUAUCUGUAGGUCUAGUUCUAUCGCCACUGUUUUCGUUUAACUGGCUUGCUCAGUGUUUGGAGAAUAAUUUCUUCUCACAUUGGAAGAUGUUUCUUGGUGUCUUUGUAUGUAUUAUAUCGAUUGUGAUUGGCUUCCAAUUCAGCCUGCCUGUGUACAUGUACAAGUUGACCCAGUCUUCGUUGAUGCUGUGUAACAAGAUCAACUCGAUUCUGAUGCAUACGACAUGGCUACAGGUUGGAUCACUCGUUGUUGGAUUUCUGAUCCUCUUGCUCAUGUCCAACUCAAGCCACAAGACGGCAUUGAAAGUUCUCUCUGUUUGUCUCUGGUUCAUAGCUCUUCUGAAUAUUGGCACUUACUUGUUCGGCUCGAUAGCUAUUCCUACUGUUUGUGCACUCUUUGUAGCCUCUGUCAUCGCUAGCUGUUUUAAAAUGGCUAAGAAUGAACAUGACAAGAAAAAUUCUGACAAAGACCAUCUUGAAGAAGGGCUACUUGAGAAAGGCCUUUCACUCGAGAAUCUGCAAAAGUUGUCCUCACACAAAAGUGAAUUGAACGUUUGUCUAAAAGGAACAGAAUUACAAUCCGUUUUGGAUGAAGAUACACAAGAACAGUCUAGUGAUGAAAAGUUGGAAGAACUGAUCGAUAGAAAACAAGUCUCAUUCAAUCCAUCAGCUAGAGUGAAGAUUACAACUCCAGUCAAUCAGGAAGACUCUCAAUUCAAUAUCUCAGACGACCUCAACCCAGAGCUGAUUCCAACACUAAAGCGAUCGAAGCAUCUCCCACACGAUGAACAUUCUGAAAACAUGGAGGAAAUUGACGGAGGUGGAUCUAUCUCCCCUCACAAAGACAGCCUUAAAGCUCGAGCACAGAGCAAUCAAGUAUUCUUUGUUCUCGUCAUAGCUUGCCUUCUAGUAGUACUCUGGAAGCAUCCAAUAUUCACGCUAAUACUCAUCCCAUUUGCUAUUUGGAGUAGUAUUAAAUACACUUUCACCCUCGCAGUGGUAAAAAACUCAGUUUUGAAUCAAUUUUCAAAUUCGUCGCAAAGUGCUAUAGACUGGAUUCUUUCUCAAGAUAAAAUAUUGUUCCCAUGGCCUAUGCCUAUGAUGUACACUAUGUAUCUCUUUAUUGACAAGAAGGUGCUUGAGGGAGUUAAGAAAAGUAUUGGUAGUUUGGCCAGUGCUCUGAUCAUCGUGUUGUUGUUGGUUGUGGUUUUGGCUGUAGCUGUACUACUAGUGUUUCAGAUUCAAGUGGAAGUGAUGCACUACGCUAGUGCUGCCGUGUCUGUGUGGAAUAGUACUGUCGCCACAAACCCUCAAAUCACAGAGUGGAUUGGUACAGAAGCCAAUGAGACACUACAGACGACCCUUGAGAAUUUUGCCAAUGAAAACUACGCCUUUGCUAGAGAGAAACUUGCUGACUGGAUCCACACGCUGGUGAUUGACUCAUCAGCAGACACAGCAGUGAUGGAGAGACGUGUGUUAGAACUGUUUGAUAAGCUGUACAACAUGUAUGUGGUCCAGAACACCACCAGUCUGACAGAAGGUACUGAGAGUGUCAUAGCAGAUGAAGGAAUGGUCACAGAUGACAGUAUUGUGGGCACUUUCUCUGAGCUACUCCCUCACAUUGAUAUUGGUACUACAGUCACUGUGUUGAGCUCAUUGUGGUCCAUCCUCUCUGACAACAUGGCUGUUGCCUUAUCGUUCCUCUACACACUGCUGCAGCUACUCUUCAGUGGAGGGACUUUCCUAAUCAACAGUAUUGUGUUCCUGACUGCUCUGUUCUACCUGCUGAGUUACUCUGAGCAAGACUACCUCCCUGUCAAGUGGGUCAUGGAUUUGUUCCCUCACUUAACCCUCUCCUCCAAUGAUUCCACAACUGGUACCUCAACCGAGGUCGGUAUGGACGGGGAUAAGAAGAAACAUGGCAAGACUUUCUCACGGGCAGUAAGGAGUGUGUUCCAUGCAACGUUCAGACGAGCAUUCUUCUAUGGCUUCUACACUUGGCUCACCCACACUUUGUUCGGACUACCUGUGGCCAUUCUCCCAGCUGUGGUGGCUGGGAUAGCUGGAGCCAUUCCAUUCAUUGGGGCAUACUGGGUGGCAUUGCCUGCUGUGUUGGAACUGUGGCUGCUGCAGGGACAACUGCUUUCCGCUCUAGCAUUGUUCACUCUCUCUUUGUUACCUCUGCUCUUUGUGGACACACUCAUCAAUAGGGAAAUUGAAGGUGGUCACCCUUACCUGACUGGUCUAGCCAUUGCUGGAGGUAUCUACUUUGCUGGUCUGCAGGGAGCACUCAUCGGACCCAUCCUACUCUCCUGUCUCCUCUUUGUAGUGGACUUUUAUGGUGACAGCUUCUUUUAACUUUAGGUUGAACUCAACACACAUGGACUUAACCCUCUCCUCCAAUGAUUCCACAACUGGUACCUCAACCGAGGUCGGUAUGGACGGGGAUAAGAAGAAACACGGCAAGACUUUCUCACGGGCAGUAAGGAGUGUGUUCCAUGCAACGUUCAGACGAGCAUUCUUCUAUGGUUUCUACACCUGGCUCACCCACACUUUGUUCGGACUACCUGUGGCUAUUCUCCCAGCUGUAGUGGCUGGGAUAGCUGGAGCCAUUCCAUUCAUUGGGGCAUACUGGGUGGCAUUGCCUGCUGUGUUGGAGCUGUGGCUGCUGCAGGGACAACUGCUCUCCGCUCUAGCAUUGUUCACUCUCUCUUUGUUACCUCUGCU
Halichondria panicea is the source of this 3215-nucleotide RNA transcript. It is a transcript of the gene named transmembrane protein 245-like, with no coding region annotated. NCBI's taxonomy places the organism in Eukaryota, Metazoa, Porifera, Demospongiae, Suberitida, Halichondriidae. The transcript has 13 exons. The record is from RefSeq and is a predicted model, not a curated record.